CUGCGCCAUCUGCGGGGAUCGAUCCUCAGGCAAGCACUACGGCGUGUACAGCUGCGAGGGCUGUAAGGGUUUCUUUAAACGCACCAUCCGUAAGGAUUUGAGCUACAGCUGCCGCGACAACCGCGACUGCGUGGUGGACAAACGGCAACGCAACCGCUGCCAGUACUGCAGGUACCAGAAGUGCCUGGCCAGCGGCAUGAGGAGGGAAGGUAAGUCUAUAUGGGAUCAUUUAUGGGCCAUAAAUGACCCCAAAUCCUCAUUUCUGAGCCCAAAAUCCUGCUUCUAGACCCCAUAAUUGCCCCCAAAACCCCCUUUCUGAGCCCAGAAACCCCAUUUCUGACCCCAAAAUCCCACUAUCUGAGCACAAAUCCUGCUUCUUGAUCCCAUAAUUGCCUCAAAUCCCUUUCUGACCCCAAAAUCCCCCUAUAGAACCCCAAAAUCCCACUUUAGGAGCCCAAAAAACCCGUUUCUGAGCCCAAAUCCUGCUUCUAGACCCCAGAAUUACCCCAAAGUCCCCCUUUCUGACCCCAAAAAGCCCCUUUCUGACCCCAAAAUCGCCCUUUCUGACCCCAAAAUCUGACUCUCAGAACCCAAAAGUACCCCAAAAUCCUAUUCCCCCCUAUGGGUCAGCCCCCAUUCAUCCCUAUGGGUCAGCCCCCAUUCAUCCCUAUGGGUCAGCCCCCAUUCAUCCCUAUGGGUCAGCCCCCAUUCAUCCCUAUAGGUCAUCCCCCCAUUGAUCCCUAUGGGUCAUCCCCCCAUUCACCCCUAUGGGUCAUCCCCCCAUUGAUCCCUAUGGGGCAGCCCCCCAUUGAUCCCUAUGGGUCAGCCCCCCAUUGAUCCCUAUGGGUCAGCCCCCAUUCAUCCCUAUGUGUCAUCCCCCCAUUGAUCCCUAUGGGUCAUCCCCCCAUUGAUCCCUAUGGAUCAGCCCCCCAUUCAUCCCUAUGGGUCAGCCCCCAUUGAUCCCUAUGGGGCAGCCCCCUAUGGGUCAUCCCCAUUCAUCCCUAUGGGGCAGCCCCCUAUGGGUCAGCCCCCAUUCAUCCCUAUGGGGCAGCCCCUAUUCCCCCCUAUCCCCCAUUCAUCCCUAUGGGUCAACCUCCAUUCCCCCCUAUGGGGCAGCCCCUAUGGGUCAUCCCCCAUUGAUCCCUAUGUGUCAGCCCCCCAUUGAUCCCUAUGGGGCCGGCUCACAGCACCCCCCCAUUCAUCCCUAUGUGUCAGCCCCCAUUGAUCCCUAUGUGUCAUCCCCCCAUUGAUCCCUAUGGGGCCGGCUGACAGCGCCCCCCCAUUGAUCCCUAUGGGUCAUCCCCCCAUUGAUCCCUAUGGGUCAUCCCCCCAUUGAUCCCUAUGGGUCAGUCCCCAUUGAUCCCUAUGGUUCAGCCCCCCAUUGAUCCCUAUGGGUCAGCCCCCAUUGAUCCCUAUGGGUCAGCCCCCCAUUCAUCCCUAUGGGUCAGGCCCCCAUUCAUCCCUAUGUGUCAUCCCCCCAUUCAUCCCUAUGGGUCAGCCCCCAUUCAUCCCUAUGGGGCAGCCCCUAUGGGUCAGCCCCCAUUCAUCCCUAUGGGGCAGCCCCCCAUUGAUCCCUAUGGGUCAUCCCCCCAUUCACCCCUAUGGGUCAUCCCCCCAU
Molecule: long non-coding RNA, 1618 nt
Organism: Coturnix japonica (Japanese quail)
Lineage: Eukaryota; Metazoa; Chordata; Aves; Galliformes; Phasianidae
Source: Ensembl